RNAcentral lists this ribosomal RNA (939 nucleotides) under Deconica montana var. macrospora. Its description in RNAcentral is "LSU rRNA". It matches the Rfam family "Eukaryotic large subunit ribosomal RNA", at positions 38 to 961 of the family's 3401-position model. The record is from RNAcentral. Lineage: Eukaryota; Fungi; Basidiomycota; Agaricomycetes; Agaricales; Kuehneromycetaceae.
GCAUAUCAAUAAGCGGAGGAAAAGAAACUAACAAGGAUUCCCCUAGUAACUGCGAGUGAAGCGGGAAAAGCUCAAAUUUAAAAUCUGACGGUCUUUUGGUCGUCCGAGUUGUAAUCUAGAGAAGUGUUAUCCGCGUUGGACCGUGUACAAGUCUCCUGGAAUGGAGCGUCAUAGAGGGUGAGAAUCCCGUCUUUGACACGGACUACCAGUGCUUUGUGAUGCGCUCUCAAAGAGUCGAGUUGUUUGGGAAUGCAGCUCAAAAUGGGUGGUAAAUUCCAUCUAAAGCUAAAUAUUGGCGAGAGACCGAUAGCGAACAAGUACCGUGAGGGAAAGAUGAAAAGAACUUUGGAAAGAGAGUUAAACAGUACGUGAAAUUGCUGAAAGGGAAACGCUUGAAGUCAGUCGCGUUGUCCGGGAAUCAACCUUGCUUUUGCUGGGUGUACUUUCCGGUUGACGGGUCAGCAUCAAUUUUGACCGUUGGAUAAAGUGUAGGGGAAUGUGGCAUCUUCGGAUGUGUUAUAGCCCUUGCUCGCAUACAACGGUUGGGAUUGAGGAACUCAGUACGCCGCAAGGCCGGGAAUUUAUUCUACGUUCGUACUUAGGAUGCUGGCAUAAUGACUUUAAUCGACCCGUCUUGAAACACGGACCAAGGAGUCUAACAUGCCUGCGAGUGUUUGGGUGGAAAACCCGAGCGCGUAAUGAAAGUGAAAGUUGAGAUCCCUGUCGUGGGGAGCAUCGACGCCCGGACCAGACCUUUUGUGACGGAUCUGCGGUAGAGCAUGUAUGUUGGGACCCGAAAGAUGGUGAACUAUGCCUGAAUAGGGUGAAGCCAGAGGAAACUCUGGUGGAGGCUCGUAGCGAUUCUGACGUGCAAAUCGAUCGUCAAAUUUGGGUAUAGGGGCGAAAGACUAAUCGAACCAUCUAGUAGCUGGUUCCUGC